This 76-nucleotide transfer RNA is filed under the name Planctomycetota bacterium. RNAcentral describes it as "tRNA-Phe". It matches the Rfam family "tRNA". Rfam says of the family: Transfer RNA (tRNA) molecules are approximately 80 nucleotides in length. The record is from RNAcentral. Lineage: Bacteria; Pseudomonadati; Planctomycetota.
GGCCAGGUAGCUCAGUUGGUAGAGCAUCUGAUUGAAAAUCAGAGGGUCACCGGUUCAAGUCCGGUCCUGGCCACCA